GUAGGGUGCGAGCGUUAAUCGGAAUUACUGGGCGUAAAGCGUGCGCAGGCGGUUUGCUAAGACCGAUGUGAAAUCCCCGGGCUCAACCUGGGAACUGCAUUGGUGACUGGCAGGCUAGAGUAUGGCAGAGGGGGGUAGAAUUCCACGUGUAGCAGUGAAAUGCGUAGAGAUGUGGAGGAAUACUGAUGGCGAAGGCAGCCCCCUGGGCCAAUACUGACGCUCAUGCACGAAAGCGUGGGGAGCAAACAGGAUUAGAUACCCUGGUAGUCCACGCCCUAAACGAUGUCAACUAGUUGUUGGGGAUUCAUUUCCUUAGUAACGUAGCUAACGCGUGAAGU
This 338-nucleotide ribosomal RNA is filed under the name uncultured bacterium. Its description in RNAcentral is "bacterial SSU rRNA". It matches the Rfam family "Bacterial small subunit ribosomal RNA", at positions 527 to 865 of the family's 1533-position model. The record is from RNAcentral.